AAAGUACUCCCUCGGUCCCAAAAUUCUUGUCUUAGAUUUGUCUAGAUACGGAUGUAUCAAGUCACAUUUUAGUAUUAGAUACAUCCGUAUCUAGACAAAUCUAAGACAAGAAUUUUGGAUAGAGGGAGUAGUUG
Non-coding RNA from Triticum aestivum (bread wheat), 134 nucleotides. Lineage: Eukaryota; Viridiplantae; Streptophyta; Magnoliopsida; Poales; Poaceae. The record is from Rfam.